RNAcentral lists this ribosomal RNA (253 nucleotides) under uncultured bacterium. Its description in RNAcentral is "partial 16S ribosomal RNA". It matches the Rfam family "Bacterial small subunit ribosomal RNA", at positions 524 to 776 of the family's 1533-position model. The record is from RNAcentral.
UACGGAGGGAGCUAGCGUUGUUCGGAAUUACUGGGCGUAAAGCGCACGUAGGCGGCUUUUUAAGUCAGGGGUGAAAUCCCGGGGCUCAACCCCGGAACUGCCCUUGAACCUGGGAGGCUAGAAUCUUGGAGAGGCGAGUGGAAUUCCGAGUGUAGAGGUGAAAUUCGUAGAUAUUCGGAAGAACACCAGUGGCGAAGGCGACUCGCUGGACAAGUAUUGACGCUGAGGUGCGAAAGCGUGGGGAGCAAACUGG